AGAUACUUCCAAAACUAGUUUGCAGGUGCUUAUAUUACCGAGCAGGAGACGCAACCAAGCUCAAGGAGGAGCUCGAUGAAGAUCUUGCCCUUUGUGUUGUUUCGUUGUAGUUGAUCAGUAGUGGAGCCCAGUUGGGGUCGAUCGGGGACCUUUGUCGCAUUUGGGGUUCUUCUUUUAUUUUGGUUCCGUAGACGGACCUUGAUUGUAUCUGGAUGAUGUAAUGUUGUAUUCAUGUAAUUGUGUGAAGUGGCGAUUGUAAGCCAACUAUGUAUCUCUUGCCCAUAUGUAUUACAUGGGUUGUGUGAAGAUUACCUCACUUGCGACAUUGCUUUCAAUGCGGUUAUGCCUCUAAGUCGUGCUUCGACACGUGGGAGAUAUAGCCGCAUCGAGGGCGUUACAAGUUGGUAAUCAGAGCCUUCCCCGACCUUAGGAGCCCCAUUGCUUGAUCGUUUUUAGCGGCCGAGUUUGAGUCUAGAAAAAAAUGUUUUGAGUCCUUAGGAAUUAUAUAUCGGAGAGUUUAGGAAUUCUUUUUACUCCUUAGUCCCUUCAUCGCUCUGGUAAGGCAUCCUGACGUAGAGUUUUGACUCUUCUCUUCUCAAAUUUUCACAUAAAAUUUUUUUUAGGAUCACGCGGGUAUCUUGGAAUCGUUCCGAUGGUUUUAUGAUGAGAACAUUGUCUUGGUGCCUCCUGUCAGGGGUUUAGUGGAAGUGUCCCGGGGAGUUGAGCUCUGAGGUGUUGUCAUCAUAAUUUUAUCGUUGCAAUUCUGAUAUACCUGAGUUUAGUACGCCGACAUCGAAAAUCUCUUUUAUGCAGUUCGUUGGUGAGAUAACCUCGACGCCACCCAGUACUGGGGCGGGAGUUCGGGAGUAUUGCCAUAACUUGUAUAACGGAUGCUUUUCGAAGGUUGAGGUAGAUGAUUUCCGAAGGUUUCUUGGUUAUGUGUUGAAGGAUGGAUACAGCUGGAUGUAGGAUUUGUUAGUUUUGGGUGAGAUAUUAUGCUUCCCCUGUAUCCCCAACACCUGAUUGCAUAACCGGAAAAUUUCGGGAGUUUCAUAGGUGGGAAUUCAAGUAGCUCUUAGGAUAUCUUUUCGACAGAUGUAUGAUAUGAAAUUGGGGUUCGACGUCUAGUGGUCCGCCUUUCCACGGUCGUUUUUACAGUGGUCUCGUUGUGUCUUAAAGAGUCCUUGGCUAUGCCGACUCGGGGACGCUUCGUAUGUCAUGUGCACUGCCUUGUACAUGAUGGUGCUGUACGAUCGAGCCCGUGUGGGCCCCACCACGAAAACUUCGGACGGAAUCUCUAUCAUAUGUUUGUUCCGGCUUAUUCUGCAAGCCAGUCCUUUGUUUUUGUUUUGAGUUGUGGUAUUCGAGUUGCUUCAAUGUCAAGUGUUGAUUCCAUACCUUUCUUAAAUGGUGUUCUCAUAUUUCUAUGGGAGUGCUAAUCCUUUCGAUCAUCGAGAUUGUCAUGUCAAUUCUUUCCAACCGGUGUGCUUCUUUUCAAGUGGAUCCGAUCAUUUCAACAUUCGCAAGAUCACCUCUCAGUUUUCUCAACGGUGUUUGUUUCAUCCGUCCCAAGUUGUUUUUGUUUUCCCGCCCUCCCACCCCUUUUUUCUUCAAGGACUCAGAUUUCUUAAUCGAGUAUCCAUUUUAUUGAUGGGAAGUUUCUCCAUUCUUUUCCGUCAAUGUUCUUAUCCGGUGAUUCUCAUGAAGAUUCUAAUGGAGCUUCAAGUUCGUCAUUCUUCAUUCCUUUCUCUUCUCCGGUGGAUUCAAGUCAAGUUUUGUUGAUCAUACCUUUUUCCUCAUUUCAAUACCUUCUCUUGACGGUGCUCCUCAUAUUUAUUCAUUUCUCGCUAUUCUAUUGUUCUGGAAUGCUCAAGAUAUCUCAAAGAUUCGUGUUUCCACUCUGUUUUCGUUCAAACUCUUUUGAGGAUGUGAUCUCAUUCUAGCCAUUUAAUUCAACCGGUGCUUUCUCUCUUUUAAAUCAUUUCAACGGUGUUUUCUUUUGAGUGGGCCCUAACCCACAGGUUUUUUUCCCCAGGAUCUUACCUGACUCUUCUAAUUAUUCUGGUGCUAUUCCCAAAUUCUUCUCCAAGUUUGACGUAAGAAUGAGUUAUCAUUAGUCAAAUGCUUUUCUCCAAGAUCUUUCAAAUUCUUUUCAUAGUUGGCUCAACCUCUUCGCUUUUGAUUCUUCCGGUGUGCCUCAAUAAUUCUUGGUGGUGUUUCUCGUUGUCAUUCUCAUCAUUUGAAGACCGAAGAAGAGUUUCUCUUUAAUCUCGCUCCAUUCUCUUCAAGAUUCGUGAUUCUAGCUUGUUGCCAUCCUCUCGUAAUUGUUUUGAUCGUGAGAAUUCUUUUCAUCCAUCCGGAGUAAUUCAAGAGUCUUCUCGGUUUGACUAUCCGGAGUCCAUCAAUUCAGGUUUAUUCAUUCUCAGCUUUCAGCUAUCAUUCUCCAAAUUUUACCGAUGCUUCGUGCAAGUGAUCUUUAAUCGGCUCGUGAUCUCGUCGUUCUCAUGUAUCUAAAUCCUCUCAAGCAUCUUCGUGUAUUUGCAAAUUCUUCCCGGUGUCUUCCUUAUCUUUUCUUUGUUCAUUUUUAAUUCUUACCGUGGUUCUUUCAAGAUCUCUCUUCCUUGUUCAUCAUAUCAAUUCAUUUGUUGUUCCAAUCCUACCGGUGGUUCGUUGAAGACCUUCUCAAGUUUUGAUAUAUCUCUUUAAUCCUUCCUACGAGAAUAAGUAGUAUGCCAAAUCCAUUGAUUGUCAUCAAUUUAAUUGGUGAAGGAUAAGCAUAACAUAAUUCUUAUUCUUGUUCAUCCAAGUGAUUAAUUCUUUAUUCCGGAGGCCCUUAAAAUUCUCGGUUUCAUUUGUUUCAUCUUCCCUUUAUCCCGGAGUUCCAAGCUCUAAUUAUCACGGAGAUCCAUCUGAAUCAUUGCAAGGAUUCACCUUGUGUUUUCAAUUUCUCUUUCUUUUCAUUCCUUUUGUUUACCGGAGUUCUUCAUGGAGGUUCUACAUGAUGGUUCAUCAAGGAUUUAAUUCGCUUCUCAAAGUUUUCAUCGAGAUUCUUUCCUAAGGAGCAAAAGCUUUCUUUAUAUGGUAAUCCGGAGUGCAAUUCUUUCUACCAUAUUUUGGAGGUGGUAUUAUGUCAUUCUUGAUAAUUUGAGUUCAUGUUCCAUGAUUCACAUGUUGUUAAGAAUGAGUUAUUUUUAAAUCCAUCAACCUCGUUGUUGGAGUUAUCUUGGUAUAGAUUUCACCUAAAGCCUUCCCUAAGGAAUGUUGCUAUUUGUGGUGCUUAUCAAUGAUCCAAGUAAUAUCUCUAUCAUCUUGGUGAAGCAGUUUUCAUCUCUUCAUUGAUCUCAAGCAAGUAAUUGUUUCCGUUAGUGGCCGGUUGUCACCUCAUAAUGUUGAGAUGUUUCCAUAAGCCCACUACAAGCUUAUUCGUUUCGUUUUUGGUUUUCCAACAACUCCGUUAUAACCUUCUUGGAAGGGUGCUUGGCAUUUUCUUCUCCAUUCUUCUAUUUCAAUUAUCUAUCUUCUAUUCUUUUGUUUCGAAGGCAUUGUGAUGUUGUGCUCUUCAAUCAUCAUCUUGUUUUGUCAGUAUCGUGUUCUUUUCAUGCUUAUCCAUUUAACCGGAGUGUCCUGCCUUUUUCUUUCAAGUUCUUUUUCAUCUUAUCAAGUCUUGCAUCUCUUUUCAACCGGAGUGCUGUCCGAUUUUGAUCUUCCUUGUUCCUUGUUUAUCUCGUUUCAACCAGAGUGAUUUCAAUUCCUUCUUGUCCAUCGUACUCGUCAUUCAUAGCUUUGCAACCUUCAAGUCCUCGUAAUGUUCCUUGUUCCUCUUUUCUAACGGAUUGUUUGCAAUCUCGUUCAUCUCUGUUGUACUCUUUCUUUUAAAUUGCUCAACCUCUCAAGGUUCGUGGUUUCACUCGUUUGUCAAAGAAGCAACUUAGUUUUACCUCUUCUCUUCCUCUUCCGUUUUCCCUCCGGUGCCAUCCUAGAUCUCGGGACGAGAUCCUCUCGUAGUGGUGGAGUGUUGUAACGCCCCGAGACCGAUGCUCGAGAAGACUUCCGGCUAUUCCGAGUUUCGCCGUGUGUUUUAUUUGCUUUUGUGCAUUUCAUCAUGUCAUCAUGUGCAUGGUGUGAUUUCUCAUACAUAUUAUGUUGUUGCAUGUUCCAUGCAUGAAUCUCACAUCACCCACCUUUUCCUUCCCUCUACUUCCUUCUUUUGAUAAGUGCCAUUUUCCCCUUCUCCUUUAAUGUUCACCUUCUCCCAAAUAGUCAAACUUAUUGCCCUAAACCCCACCGCCAAAUUUCACCUCUUUUGGGAAUGUUUUGGUUAGGUUUUAAAAUGGCUCAAGUUUGAAUUUAAUUCAAACUUGAAUUAUUUUUCUUCCUCUAAAAAUUGCCAAACCAAUUUAUUCAAAUUCUGCAUAUUCUCAAGACUCCAGGGAUAUUUUCUUUUCUGAAAUAUUCCACCUCUAGCACCUCUUUCUUUUCUCCUAAAUUCUGGUUGAAGAAUUAAGGAAAAGAAAAGAGAGAUGGAGAAGCCAGCCCAACUGGGCCUCCCAGCUACCGCAGCUCGGCCCAGCCACCCGCGCAGCCAGACCGGCCCAAGGCCUAGGCCCAGCAGCGCCCCCCUCUAACCCUAGUUUCCCGAUCCCCUCAUCUCUCCCUCCCUUCGUCCUCUUCCAGCGCCGCCAGUCACCCAUCGUCCGAUCCCAUCGCCUCUCCUGCUCGAUCCCAUCUCUCUCCCGCGACCCCGAGCUCCCUGCAGUCCGAGCGCCACGAGGAGGAGCCCCUUGAGCACCGGCCGCCGCCGCCAGUCUUCGCCGUGCCCCUGCUGCCUUCCUUCCCCGCGCCUCCUCCUCGCCAACUCCCUGUCGCCGAGCGUCGAGGAGAGGAGCCCCUCGAGCACCGGCCGCGCACCGCGCGCCCAACCUGCUCUUCGCCCGCCUCCUCGUCUGUCCGUCGCCGCCGCGGCGCGGGCCCCGCCUGACGGAUCCCCGAGCAGUCUUCCGGCGCCGCGCCUCCCCGUCACCCGCGUCUCCUCGCGCUGGCCCCGGCCAGCCGGCCACCAGAGCCUCGCCGACGCCCCGUCCUCGCCUCUCCACACGCUCGCCAGGUCCCCGUGCCGAGCCGGCCCUGCAGCCCCGUCCCCGGCCUCCGAUGACUCGCCGCGCCCGCCAAGUUCCUGCGUGAGCCUCCUCUGCUCGCUCGCGUGGGCCGCAGCGGCUGCAAGGCCGGUCGUAGCCAGCCAGCCUCGCCUCUGCUCCGAGACCAGGAUCGUCAAGGUCAUCUUCGAGAAUUUUCGCCAAGUACCACGACAUUCGGAACCCCUUGGAAACGUCAAGUUCGACUACAAAACGUCAAACGUGUACCACUACCGCCGCCCGAACUUCUACGAACGGUGUACCACGACGAACAUGUACGGCUACAUGAUGACCCGCCAAGACCUCGAACCACUACCAUCGCAAGAACAACUACUUCCACUACCGUCGCCACGUGAACAACUACUUCCUCUACCGACGCCGUGUACAACUACUUCCGACGACGUUCCGUGAACGUCUACUUCCCUCUACGAACUCGAUCCACCCGAAACGCACGCUUCGAAGGUAUAACACCGAGACGAUGUUCGUGGACCGAAUGCAUGUUGUAUGAGAUGCCCGUUUUUGCAUCGUGUCCGUUUGUCACUCGUUUCCAUGCCACUAUCCCGUGGGAACCCGGUAGACGGGAUCACCCCACCAUCUUCUGCAUGUUUCGCACAUCCGCACACUUGCUCUUUUGCACCGGUAUCUCAAUGAGUUAUCGGAUCAUCGGAAUGUUGCCGUGGCACCAUUUUUGUUAUCGUUGUCGUGGCACCAUUUUCGUUAUCGUUGCCGUGGCACCCCUUUCGUUCCGCCAUGGUGACCAAAUGCUCCUUAACAUGCUUAUGUCAACAUUUUCAUAAAAAAAUGCAUAAAACUUGCAUAUGUCAUCCGCAUCAUGAUAAUAACAAUUAAAAUGCUUAAAAUUGGUGUUACUUUAAAUUGCUAAAUGCAUAUGGGGAUUUACCGGAUUUGUUGUUUUUAUAUCCGGCCCCAUUUAAAUUGUUUAGAUGGUAUUGUUAGUUUAAUUAUGCCUCACCUCUUGCCAUGUUUAACAACAGUUAAUAUUGUUGGAUAGCAUAACCGAGAGAGAACUAAAUAAUUGAUGUGGUGUUUCGUCAAUAUGCAACUCCGUUGCAUAUUGAGCUCCACUUAAUUUGUAAGAUAGUUUGUUGCAUUUUGCCAUGCCAUGCCUCUUUAAACCGGACAUGCAUCAUACUUGGUUGUGCAUCAUGCCAUGUUUGUGCUUGUUGGUUUACUAUGUUGUUUGUUCCUUUCCGGGUUGCUUCUCACGUUAGCUUCGGUUUCGUUCCGGAGUUGUGAGGAUUCGUUCGUCUACGGCCGUUUGUCUUCUUCUUGGAUUCGUUCUUCUUCCUUGCGGGAUUUCAGGCAAGAUGAUCAUACCCUCGAAAUCACUACUAUCUUUGCUAUGCUAGUUUGCUCGCUCUUUUGCCAUGCCAAUGCUACGAUGCCUACCACUUGCUUGUCAGCCACCCAAAUUGCCAUGUUCAACCUCUAACCCACCAUGUCCUAGCAAACCGUUGAUUGGCUAUGUUACCGCUUUGCUCAGCCCCUCUUAUAGCGUUGUUAGUUGCAUGUGAAGAUCGAAGUUUGUUCCUUGUUGGAACAUGGAGAUGUUGUUCCUUGUUGGAACAUGUUUACUUGUUGGGAUAUCACAAUAUAUAUUAUUUAAUUAAUGCAUCUAUAUACUUGGUAAAGGGUGGAAGGCUCGGCCUUAUGCCUGGUGUUUUGUUCCACUCUUGCCGUCCUAGUUUCCGUCAUAUCGGUGUUAUGUUCCCGGAUUUUGCGUCCCUUACGCGGUUGGGCUAUAAUGGGAACCCCUUGACAGUUCGCCUUAAGUAAAGCUCUUCCAGCAAUGCCCAACAUUGGUUUUACCAUUCGCCACCUAGCCUCUUUUUCCCUUGGGUUUCGCGGACUCAAGGGUCAUCAUUAUUUUACCCCCCGGGCCAGUGCUCCUCUGAGUGUUGGUCCAACCUGUCAGCUGCCGGUGGCCACCAGGGGCAACUCUGGGUUGGCCUACCCGUACCUAAGACAAUCUGAGUGUGCCCUGAGAAAGAGAUAUGUGCAGCUCCUAUCGGGAUUUGUCGGCACAUUCGGGCGGUGUUGCUGGUUUAGUUUUACCCUGUCGAAAUGUCUUGUUGUACCGGGAUACCGAGUCUGAUCGGAAUGUCUCGGGUGGAGGUCUAUUCCUUCGUUGACCGUGAGAGCUUGUGAUGGGCUAAGUUGGGACACCCCUGCAGGGAUUUGAACUUUCGAAAGUCGUGCCCGCGGUUAUGGGUAGAUGGGAGUUUGUUAACGUCCGGUUGUAGAAAACCCGAAGUUGACCUUAAUUAAAGUACAUCAACCGUGUGUGUAACCGUGAUGGUCUCUUUCCGGCGGAGUCCGGGAAGUGAACACGGUGUUGGAGUUAUGCUUGACGUAGGUUGCUAUAGGAUCACUUCUUGAUCAUACUUUUAUCGACCGUGCUUUGCCCUCUCUUCUCGCUCUCUUUUGCGAUUGUAGCCACCAUAUAUGCUAGUCGCUUGCUGCAGCUCCACCUCAUUACUCCAUCCUUCCUAUGAGCUUGAAUAGUCUUGAUCUCGCGGGUGCGAGAUUGCUGAGUCCCCGUGGCUCACAGAUACUUCCAAAACCAGUUUGCAGGUGCUUAUAUUACCGAGCAGGAGACGCAACCAAGCUCACGGAGGAGCUCGAUGAAGAUCUUGCCCUUUGUGUUGUUUCGUUGUAGUUGAUCAGUAGUGGAGCCCAGUUGGGGUCGAUCGGGGACCUUUGUCGCAUUUGGGGUUCUUCUUUUAUUUUGGUUCCGUAGACGGACCUUGAUUGUAUCUGGAUGAUGUAAUGCUGUAUUCAUGUAAUUGUGUGAAGUGGCGAUUGUAAGCCAACUAUGUAUCUCUUGCCCAUAUGUAUUACAUGGGUUGUGUGAAGAUUACCUCACUUGCGACAUUGCUUUCAAUGCGGUUAUGCCUCUAAGUCGUGCUUCGACACGUGGGAGAUAUAGCCGCAUCGAGGGCGUUACACACUCCC
This 8108-nucleotide long non-coding RNA is filed under the name Triticum aestivum (bread wheat). RNAcentral's name for it is "long non-coding RNA (TAES_LNC027657)". Lineage: Eukaryota; Viridiplantae; Streptophyta; Magnoliopsida; Poales; Poaceae. The record is from RNAcentral.